RNAcentral lists this long non-coding RNA (3532 nucleotides) under Anser cygnoides (Swan goose). Its description in RNAcentral is "lncRNA (ENSACDG00005001105.1)". Lineage: Eukaryota; Metazoa; Chordata; Aves; Anseriformes; Anatidae. The record is from RNAcentral.
AUGAAGCUCCGAGUCUGGGUCAAGGUUAAACACCCUAUGGAAGAGUGCUCAUGUGCCUGGCGCUUUCUCUGUGACUCCUCUAUAAAGGUGAGGGGAAGACGGGUGGGAAGAAACGUGAUCUGCCCAGAGAGUUCAGUGCUGCGAACUGAUGGAGCGACCUCAGAGAGGUGGCAGAAAAAGACAGCGCUCGCUAUCGCUGCUCUGGGAGAGAGUGGGGGACCCCAAAACACCACCCACUUGCAGAACGACACCAUCCUGGAUUCACAUGUAAGCUGUCACAUUGCUGGGGCACAAGGGGAUGCAAUCUGUUCAGGGCUGGGUGCAUCUGGAGCCUGGGCUGGUGGAGCUCUCACGCUGCCGGUGCAGGUGUUGGAGCCAGUCCACCACGUUUCUUCCCUUCCUAGCAUCUCUCCGUGGCCUGGGUUCAUGCUUGGCCCCUCUCUGCUGGUUGCACGAAGACUAUAAAAUGGUAUGUGUCGUUUGGCAUGUCUCUGCCUGUUGUGGCUCCUUGGGAAAGCUCAGCACUAUGAGCCUACUGCCUUCCAGAUGCAAUGUCUACCAUCCCCACUCCUCCCGUCGAGCCAGCGCUGUCCCUGGUGGGAGUGUUUGCUACAUCAAAGCCCCGGUUUGUACUGCAAGCGGAUGAUUUCUCUGGUAUAUUUACACUUGUAAGGGAAGAUUUUUUUUUUCCCCCUUGUAAAUAUCACGGCACUUCUGUUGCUUCUGUGCUGGCCCAUCUGUGCACCAUUUUCACUUGUACUGACUCAUGUUCACAGAGUAGUAAGAGCCGUCGCUAAGUGUUUUAAUUUCUGCUUUAGAGUGGGCCCGUUUUGCUUUUCAAGUUAGUUCCUAGGCAGUUAAGUGAUGGUUUUCUUUUUUUCUUAAUGACAUCUCUGGGCUCCAUUGGUAUCUAUUUUAAUAGUUUGCAGGGUUUUGUUCAGAUUUUCCAAGAUUUCCACUCCUGUGUUUCUGGAAUUUGUUGUCAGUAGUGAGAUGUUUUUUCUGUGUGACAAGAAGUCACUGCGCACAUGCCCUCUCUGAAAGGCUGCAGCAAAAUCCUUAGUCUGUCGUAACACUGCAAGUUCAGAUAUUCCCCAAGAAUAGGCGAAGGUUGCUUGCACAGAUGGCAUUCAGGCCUCUUGAGCUGUGUUGUGCUCUUUUUCAUGAGUGAUCAUAAACUCGUUUUAUUCACCUCUAUCUCUUUGGGUAACCACAGUAGACAGCAGCUGUUUUGUGAACCACUCUUGAAUAUUUUGCCAUCACUGCUCCAACUGCACACAGGGUUGUCUUCAUUGUGCAUGGUUCAGACUUUGCUCUGGAGGUAGGCGGAUCACAAGCCCUUUCUCCUAGCCACUUCCCUGGCAUUCAAGGAGAUGGAGCACCCGUAUCCUCACUUCACAGGGGGAGGUAAGGCACAGAGAGAGCCUGUGAGCUACGUACCCUUUUGGAUACCUCAUGUUCCAGAGUCUGUGGCAGGAUGUUUGAUGCCACAGUUCAAAGCUCAGCUCUCGGUGACUUCAGCACUUAGCAGCUUUCCACGUGAGACCCUUGCACAGGAAGGGUUCAGGAGAAGCGAACGUGCAUUAGUGAAAGCCUUGGGCUAAGUGGCCCAUACAUCACAGAGCAGUGCCAGGAAGGGAUUGAGAGAGUUCAGUUAAGCACAGGAUUUGUAUACCUUAAUUAAGAGACUUUCCUCUCUCUUUAGAUUCUCUCUGUGUGGCUAUUACCAUCUCAUUCCUCCAACCUCCUACCAUGCCUUGCCCUCUCUACAUUAAAGUCCAAACAGAGCUCUCUCUUUUUUUUUUCUUUUUUUUUUUUUUUUUUCCACUGGUUAUAUGUGCUGAGAUCUCAGCUUAAACCAUCUUCUAGCUCUCUUCUGGCCAGGUCCUGCAGAGGCCCUGCUGCUGAAGGGAAUGCUUGCAGUGAAACCCUACUGAGCCCUGCAGCCGCAGGAGCAUCCCCAGGCCCUGCCAGGUGCCCCAUGUGUUGUCUCACCAGUGCCUGGCACAGUGGAGCAUUCAGCUUGCUCAGCACUGAGGACAGCCAAAGUAGCUGCUGGAUCUCUGCUGCACAUGUAUAAACAGCAAGUACAUAUAUCUGUAUCUAUCUGUAUGUCUAUCUAUAGAUAUUUAUGAGAAUGAGGCUCAAAACAGCCAAAUUCUGAUAUUUAUAUCAGAAAUAUAAUAUAUAUAUAUCAGAAAUAUAUAUAUAUUUCUUUCCCCCUCUCCCUAGGAAUAUGGAAGGACAUGCAUUUCACAGCAGCCGAGGCUGACAGUGCUUCGCAGUUCUGCUUUUAGAAGUGUGGAGUGUGAGAAGAUAUCAGUAAAUGACAAAAAGAUCCUUUUAACAGGGGCAAAAGAGAAUCUUUUCCCUCAAACGUAUUCUUGGAAAGACUUGAGCCAUUUCAGCUGAAAUGAAAAAGUUUAGCCUGAGGCCAAACCCAGCUGAAGAAAUUUUCAGCCUAAACAAUUAAUUAUAGAUGAAGUUAUGAGCAACCAAAACCAGAGUUAUACAAUAGUCAACUGUAAUUAUAGUGGUGCUUUUAACUCUGCCUAUAACAGAGGCAUGUAUGUCAAUGCAAAUUCUUGGGUUGGUCUCAGGAAGAGCCUUGUGGAGCUGUUUAUAAACCCGAGCUUUCUGAUCUGAGGGGAUGGGAGCGAGCAUUUUGCAUCAGAAAUAAUCUGCUUUUGAAAGAUGAAUUAACUGGUGACUUUCAAAGCUGUGUCUUGUCUGUACUCAGCAUUUACCUAGGGUCACUUUAGCCGUGAUAUUAUGUUUCUGCUCUACGUGGGAGGAAGGGCGUAAUGAAGAGGGAGCCUCCUAUGACGGAGAACAGCUCAGUCAUGAGAAAGCUGGGUUGGCAGAGAUUAAUGGGGAAGCAUCCUGUCUGCAAUAUCACCAUCUGAGCAAGCCUUUCCCGGGAAACUGGUAAGUAACCUCCCGAUGGAGGAGGUUGUCUGUUGUAAAAAGCAGUUCCUUGCUUGACAAGGGGAACACACAUACUGGAAAUAUGUCCUGAACAAACAGUUCCUAAUGGGGACCUUCAUGCCUUGCGCAGUCAUGGGAGAACAUUUUAGAAGCUUGCACAUGGGGGAAUAUUCUCGCCUGUGUCGGCUGCUAAGUUGAGCUACAUGUGAAUUCUUUCAGCAGUAGAGGUACUGCUGACAAACAGUCGUCUUCAGUGAUGAAAGGAGUGCAGGUGAGAGGAAACUGUGGGAGGAGAUCCUGCUCUGAAUUUCUUGUGGAAACCGUAAUUAUGUGAAUCAGUGUAGAGAGGUAUGAGGGUUUCCAGUGUAAGCUAUAAAAAAAUGCUUAGGGAAGCAAUCUACGGAUGAGACUGCUCAUUCAGAUCUUAUCUUACUCAUGUGGGAGCGUGGAAAUCUUUGCGUUCCACCUUAUCUCUUCUCCCCCGGGAGAUCAGUGUUGAGAGAGCUUGACCUCUCACUUACCAUUUCAAAUCAAACCCAGUGUAAUAGUGGCUUUGGCUGUGCAAUGCCUCAAUAAAUUAAUGAAAUAAUCUCGUUCCCUGCCA